This is a long non-coding RNA of Homo sapiens (human), 1492 nucleotides long. RefSeq lists it as uncharacterized. The transcript has 6 exons. NCBI's taxonomy places the organism in Eukaryota, Metazoa, Chordata, Mammalia, Primates, Hominidae. The record is from RefSeq and is a predicted model, not a curated record.
CACGCAUGCGCGGAGGCAGAGCCCCAGGACCGCGAGACUAUCCGCACAGCUUCUCCUCAGGCCCCACAGCUAGAACCCCAAAUCGCCUAGUCCCAACCCAUGCACUCUCUAAUCGGCGCCACACGACGGGCCUUCCCCACAACCUCAUCUGCUUGGGGACGUAAAGGGCUCUGUGGGGGAGCUGCAGCUUUCGUGCCCAUCUGUUAAAGGCCAGAACUUCCCAUCUCUGAAAUGCGGGAGGGAACAGAGCUCAAGCUUGAAUAACUGAGCGCGGCCCGGCAGUCCCCCAAGUGAAGAUUCACCAGAGAAUAAGCCUGAUGGAAGUCUGGAGAUAACAGGACUCCCAACCAGCAGAUGUGAAACCUGAAAUUAGUGAUUUGCCAAAGGAAAUGAUGAGCUGUGAUCCCAGAUUUCAUCUCAAGUAUAAAGUAAUGAAGUGAGAAGAUUGAUGUUGAAAGGGACCUUGGAGGGCAUUUUAAUAUCUACCUUUUGAAAUGAAAAACAAAAUAAAACAAGAGAUUCUAUAAUAAUUCAAUGCCAACUGAAUGCAAUACACUCUUUCAGAUGUUGCAAAGAAAGCUGUACAUUGAGAUCAUCUGGAAAACUUUAAAACCUGCUGAUAUUUGAGCUCUACCCCAAGAAAUUCUGAUGUAAUGUGGAUGAAAACCUGGGCAUUGGGUCUCAUAAUAUCUCCUCCGGGUGAUUAUAAUGAGCAGCAGACUUGGCAUCCACUGGUGGGAUGCGUCUGAAUACAACAGUACCAUUUAUCUCCAGGGCAUACGUUCCAACAUCUCCAGUGAAAGCCUGAAACCAGUUCCAAACCUGACUGGCAUCAUUUGGAACACGUUUCUGUUCGUCUCUCCCAUACAGAAAUUUAAUGCCUUUUCCAUCCUAAUUAAGCGCUUAUCAUGUACUGCGGCUGUAACUUGUGCAGUUUGAAGGGCCACAGCAAAACUAGCAGGAAUUUUUUUCUUCUUUCAUGGAUCGAACGUUCUUUCUUACCAUAGAUCUUAGCAAACUCGGCAUAUGAUUUUUUUUCUUUCUCUAUUAAGUUGAAAACUUUCACCUUUUCACUUAAAGGAAACACUUUACGGCUUCUCUUUGGAAAACCCGAAUUGCCAGCAUCACUACUCUUGUGCUUUGGGGCCGUUAUGAAGUAAAAUAAGAGUUCCUUGAGCACACAGCACUUUGAUGCCCAACAGGUGAUCUGAUAACCUAGACGGUCACUAAGUGACUAAUAGUAGGUGGUGUAGACAACGUGGAGAUGCUGGACAGUGGGAAGAUUCACUCCCUUGGUGAGAUGGAGCAAAGAUGGCAUGAGAUUUCAUCGCGCUACUCAGAACUGUGUGGAAUUUCAAACUUAUCAAUUGUUUAUUUCUGGAAUUUUCCCUUCAGUGAAACCAAGGAAAGCAAUAUCACAGAUAAAGGGGAUUUCCGAAUAUAUAAACAAAAAGCAUUUACUGAAUACAAGAAUAAACUAUUUCUGCUCCUC